Molecule: small nuclear RNA, 142 nt
Filed under: Suricata suricatta (meerkat)
Lineage: Eukaryota; Metazoa; Chordata; Mammalia; Carnivora; Herpestidae
Description: U2 spliceosomal RNA (ENSSSUG00005022073.1)
Rfam family: U2 spliceosomal RNA
About the family: U2 is a small nuclear RNA (snRNA) component of the spliceosome (involved in pre-mRNA splicing).
Source: Rfam by way of RNAcentral
AUCGCUUCUCAGCCUUUUGGCUAAGAUCAAGUGAAUGUAAACUAAUUUACUUAUUAUUCUUUACACACAAGAGCUUUGACUCAAGAUUUUUUCAGCUCUUUCCCACUAUUAUGUGAGUGUAAUUCACAUGAGUGUAAUUUAA